CGCCAGGGGAUUAAAGGAAACAGUUGACACACAACAGACAGAGUUUCUUGUUUUAAAUAGAAUGUAUGCAUAACCAUGAAGGAUAUAUGAAUAUGCAACAAGUGUAUUGUUUUAAGGGUGAUUCCUUAGUUCACAAGUCAUGCUUUUCGUGACUGAGUGUCCGAGAGCAUCCGGACAUCCAUAAUUCUUUGCUUUUUAUUGUCUUGUAAUUGUCCUCGCUCUAAAGUUUAUUACUCUAAUUGUAUUACUAUUUUUAUAACCAUUUUAUUAUUACUAAACUUUUAAAAUUUUAAAAACCAAGUGAUUGGCAUUUUUCACAAUAGGAAUGAUAAAAUGUUAUGGUAGAAUAGAAAAAUAGAUGAACAGGGACGAGUCUGCAAUGAUAACUGAUCACAUAAUCAGGCCUCGUUCAAGGAGAGAGGCAUUAGUGAGAUCAUGUGAGAAACAGUCCCUCUGUCUCUCUUCAGAUCCAGUCCCACUCUUCAGUUGGAUCAGAGUUUCACUGGGAGAAAGGGGAGGGCAAGGGUGUGUUCUGGGAUUUGGAGGCCAGCCAGGAGUUUUGCUGAAUAAUUAUUUAAAAGGUCCUUUAUUCUCAUUCUGUUUCUAACUGAAAAAUAGUAUAAAGAAAUGACAUGGCCUUCCAUGCGUUGCUUGGUAAGAAAGGCCAAAAACCCCCUGCUCAGAAAUAAGUUACAGCAUCUCCAACAGACAAAAUCCUUGUUUAGAUGUGGUUUAUGUGCUAAUCAAGGGAUUUGCUGCACUCCCAAGUUCAAUACAGAGAAUGUACCCCAGCACCUGAGCUGCAGCACAGCAGAGUUGUGCUGUCCUGUGCUGCCCUACAGUGGUGAAACAGCUUUUCCUGGAACACUGCUCCGAGUCGGGAGAGCCCGGGAUAAUGUUCUUUUUGCUCUGCCAGCAGAAAGGAAAAAAGGCUUUUUUGGGAUAAACCACAUGGAUUGAAGCAGAGCACAAGGGACAGGUUUUCCACGUUUUCCACUGCAGGCAGAAGGACAGUGAGGCCAUCCCGAUGCCUGUGGUCGUUUUUUAUGAGGGACAAACUGGGAGUGAAGUGACAAGCUGAGGCUGGGAGCCAAUGGAAAUAUCCUUGAGAAAAAGCUUUUGGCUCAUCUCUAUUUGGUUAGCAGGCAAUUUCCAUCCCACAGAUGUGAGAAAUAAUAAUGAACUUGGAACAGACAGAGUGAUUAACCAGUCAGAGCUUCCUAAGAAAGUACCAGAUCUAAAUGUAAUCCAUCUCAAACCAAGAAAGAAAAAAUACUGAGAGUCUCGUAAGAAACAUCUCUACACCUCCUGUAUCAGCUAUUGGGUGUAAGACAAGUUCUUUGAAGGUGAUUUCAGAGUAACUAUUAUAAUAACUUAACAGAAGGUUCAGAAAAACUUCAAACUGGAGAAAAAGCGAGUCCAGGACUUAACAUUGCAAUAAAACUGAAUGGGAAAACCACAAGUCUGAGACUUCAUGAGGCUUAGGAGGAGAUCCUGGUUCUUUACAGAAAGUUCACCUAAACACACUUUGCAUGACGAGUUUUAUAUAGGUAGGAGAAUCUUCCUUCCCACAACCAAAAUUUGCUGUGCAUCUCCUGGGCAGGACAUUGGGAUCUGCAGCCCGGAUAAUUUCAUUGUACCAGAGCUCAUGGCCUGAAGCACUCCUAGCCUCAGUAAAGCGUUUUCAGAGCAGUUCCUUAACCGGAUAACCCUGGCCUUUUGGGAUUGAUUCAUUCUCUGACCUUGAAAAUUUGUAUGAGGAUCCCAGACUGGGUCACUCACCUGGGGAAUGAAGAAUUUUCCCCCUAAAUUUCUUUUUCAGUAUCCAAGGUAAUGGAAUUUGAACUUUGAAGUUGUCUCCUUGCUUUCUUUCAUAACUGCUCUAUUUUCUUAUCAACCACACCAUUACAAGAGUGAGGGGGGUGAGGACAGGAGAAAGCAGCUGAGGUUUGGGUCAUGCUGCAGGACAGAGCAACUGGCUGUUCAGUGUCCCAGUUUUAAAUCACAAACAGGUUCACAAAAGCUGCUGCUGGUGGCUGCUCUGGGCUUCCACACUGCCUUACACAGACAAACCUCUGCAGCCCAGCAGAGCUUUGCCCUGUGAGAAACAGAACUCAGGGUUAGCAGCAAAAUUCUCACAAUCCAUUACUUCAUUUUGGAUGUGCCUUCAAACAGUAAGAGAACAAAGAUUAAAACUACUGAGAUAUUCAUCAGCCCUCACACCCCCCUCAGGACACAUCUCCAUGGCUCCACCUCAGCACCAGUCUGAUUCUCAUUAAUACUUUGAGUUCUUCCACAGGAUUUAGUUCUAUCACCCAACCCCUAAUUUGUCUUUUUGUGGAAGCUCUUCUGAUCCUGCCAACAGCAAACUGAAAAUGUAGCAAAAAAAGAACUGGAAUGUGCCCCCCUGAUGUGGCAAUUCCUAACCCUGAUACAGCUGCUCGGCCCUCUGCCAGCACUCUGGCAUUUCAGUUGCAAGAAUGAUACAGUUCCAAAGUCACAUCAAAUACCAGAAAACUACAGAUAGAAACAUUGUACUCCACUAUUAAUAAUUCACAUAAAAUUCACAGCCUAAAACAAUGGUUUGCAUGACAGAACAACAGAACUGAGAGAAUUCCCAACAUUACAGCCUCUGUCCUAGGCUUAUCCUUCUCCAAACUUGAUUAGUAGUAAAUUUAAAUAAUUAAUUAGCCAACUCAUUCAGUGAAAUGACUGGGUAAAUUAAAGUGAAGAGAUAAAUUCACAUUUUAAUUUUGAAUUUGCUUACAUUUGUCUGCUGGUACCCCAGCAUUAAAAAGCAUAUUACACAAAAAUCCUUACUGUCACCAUCUUAUCCCUCAAAAAUUUAUCCUUCUCCGUAUGUGGGACAAUGGUCAAAGGUUUUAUUUUGUUCUGUCAUUCAGUAAUUUUGAGUCAAACUUCCUAAGUGAAAAACAAAAUUAGGAAAAUUUGUAAGUUUGUUUUUUGGUGGAUUUUUAAUUAUGUAUUACAUAUUUGGUCAGUUAUCCAUGUUACAGAGGUAUCAAUGCUGUUGUUACCCUGGGGAAUUCCCUGUUUUCCAAGAGACCAGACUAAGUUUAUAGGACACAGAAGUCAGACAAAAACUUCCACCUUAUUAUUUUUGUGUUUAAUGCAGUGAGAGAUCUUAUUUGCCUUCCCACCUCCUCCCAUGUUAUUUUUCCAGGUCAGAUUGUGCUUUAUACUGCACCCAUUUUGCUCAGCUCAGUACACUGAAAGUAACCAGGAUAAAAAGAAGUUUGAGCUCUUAAUGAGAACCAAGGAUCAAAACAAUUAAUUCCAAGGCCAAUACUUCUGGCUCAAAUUUUAGCAGUCUGUGCACUACAGCAAAAUUCUGAAGCAGUUUUACCUACCCUGACACGCAUCCACUCACAGGACUGAGUAUGACCAGGAUUAAAAUAGGCUCACUCUUGGAAUUUGUCUUGUCAGUCACCAGAGGGACUUUUCAGUGUCAGGCUUUCAUCAGAGCUUCAGAAAUCCCCUUUGUAGUUUAUUUUAUUUACAAAGACACUUCAAAGUUUGUCAUAGAACAGGAAGAUUUUUUUUCCCAGAUGAAUUUUCAGAGAUAGCAAGCUGAGGAAGAAGGGCACAGUUUGGUUUUGGACUGCAAACAGACGUUUGCUUAUAAAUAUUUUUACUGUUAUACAAACCCAACAUGUAUUUUAGAGAUGAGGACCUGCUCCUGUGCGAGAUUUCCACUGAUAGUAAUCUAUGGCCCCGAUCCUGCUCAUUAAAGUCAGUAGGAAUUUUAACAUCUGCUUCCAUGGAAGAGGUCUUAGGCGUGCCAGCAUUGUUAGGAAUACACACAGCACAUCAGGUACAGCUGGGGAAAGAAGAGAACUUACUCUCUUCCACAAUGAGUCACAUAAUUUUAUAACUUAGAACAACUUUACCACUCUUAAGACAUUUGUAUAGCACCAAUCACCAAGAGCAUUGUCACUAAGGCACUGGACUGGUACUCAGCUGUCACGGGCUCUGCCUCCAGGUCUAGGGUCAAUCUUCUAUGUUUAUGUCUUUUGUUUUUACUGGCACAUAACUUCUGACAUUGGAAAAUAAGAUAAAUAAUACAAAACAUCCUCCGUCAUUUACAGGAACAACACAGCACGACGAAUUACAAGGUGCUCAAGUUCUGAAACCAUGAACAUUAAUAAAUCUGUGCAUAGAUUUACUGGCAGGUGGAAAUUACCCUGCAGGUAUCAAUUCUGUGCAGCACAGUGGAGCAGUGUUAGCUUCCCUUCCUCUGCAGUUAGGACAUGCCCUCAGUUAAAUCCUGCCCUGAUGCCACGAAUCAAAAGUUUUUAGAUAAAUGAAGAAAAGCCCUCAAGGACUCCUGUCUAUGACAGCUGAUCCAGGAUGCCUUCCCAGGCUUUUGCAUCAAAGUCUGCUCCUAUCAACUUGCAGAGCUCCAGUUUCAGACUCUGAGAGCAGUUUUUGAUGCUUUCAGAGGCAGCUGAAUAAUUUUUUAGUCUGUAGUGGAUUUAUCUCUCCACAUUAUUGAAAAAGAAAAAAAUCUUUAGGAGUUAUCCCUACUCUGCUGCACCACACUGAAUGUGUGCCCUGAUGCACAAAUUACUAAAAGCUCUUGGGUUGAAAUAAGUUACUGCAAAUGCACAGUAGCUGAUUUUGAAACCACAACAUCUCUACAAUUUAUUAUUAUUUUUACAAAAUACCCAAAGUGAUCAGACCAUAUUGUAGGUUACUGGCUUGCCGAAGGUUGUUUUAAAAUCAAAACCAUUUCUGAGUUACAGAAGUGCCAAAAACAAUCUUAAACCAGGUUUGUUUGUUGUUUUUUGUUGUUUUCUUUUUAAACCAACCCCCAUCCAACAAAACAGUUGUAUAACUUAAAACAGAAACAAGAGUUUGUGUUGGAAACUGUUGAAAAACCAACCCACCAAAAUCACGCUUGAGCAGAAGCCUUGUAUGGCAAAGAUUCAGCUUAGGGCAGUUUAGUGCCAACCUGCCAACCCUCCAUAGGUUUACAAUGGAAAUACUGACACAACCUCAACUACAGUGAUGCAAAUGUGCCCUAAAAACACUGUAUUUGCUUUUAUUAAUAAAAGUGGUAGUGUUUACAUUUGCAGGUAUCUUACACUUCAGCAUCACGAUGAAUACUGAGUAGAAUGAGUUAAGUUUUGGCUGUAAGGUCAGAAGUUUCCAAACAGAUGAAUGAGACAGAAGUGACAGUCUUCAAUCAUGAAAACAAGAAGUUCAAAUAAAUAAAUAAAACAAAACUAAGAAAUAUGGGUAAGCAUUAGGUUGGAAUGGUUCAAUUAACUGCAAAUUAUGGCCACUAAAUUAGAGACAGAAGAAAACACAGUUACUUAUUAAAUAGCAAGCAUUAAAGCUUUAUGGUUUUGUAUUAAAAAAAAAAAAAAAAAAAAAA
Taeniopygia guttata (zebra finch) is the source of this 5401-nucleotide long non-coding RNA. RefSeq lists it as uncharacterized. Lineage: Eukaryota; Metazoa; Chordata; Aves; Passeriformes; Estrildidae. The record is from RefSeq and is a predicted model, not a curated record.